GACGAACGCUGGCGGCGUGCUUAACACAUGCAAGUCGAACGGUGAAGGGGCCUGCUUUUGUGGGCCCUGGAUGAGUGGCGAACGGGUGAGUAACACGUGAGUAACCUGCCCCCUUCUUCUGGAUAACCGCAUGAAAGUGUGGCUAAUACGGGAUAUUCUGGGUCUGUCGCAUGAUGGGUCUGGGAAAGAUUGCGCCUUUGGGUGUUUUUGGUGGGGGAUGGGCUCGCGGCCUAUCAGCUUGUUGGUGGGGUGAUGGCCUACCAAGGCGGUGACGGGUAGCCGGCCUGAGAGGGUGGACGGUCACACUGGGACUGAGACACGGCCCAGACUCCUACGGGAGGCAGCAGUGGGGAAUAUUGCACAAUGGGCGCAAGCCUGAUGCAGCGACGCCGCGUGAGGGAUGGAGGCCUUCGGGUUGUAAACCUCUUUCGCCAGUGAAGCAGGCCUGCUCCUUGUGGGUGGGUUGACGGUAGCUGGAUAAGAAGCGCCGGCUAACUAUGUG
RNAcentral lists this ribosomal RNA (502 nucleotides) under uncultured bacterium. RNAcentral describes it as "partial 16S ribosomal RNA". It matches the Rfam family "Bacterial small subunit ribosomal RNA", at positions 28 to 507 of the family's 1533-position model. The record is from RNAcentral.